GGUCAGGUAGCUCAGUUGGUAGAGCAGUGGACUGAAAAUCCACGUGUCGCCAGUUCAAUUCUGGCCCUGACCACCU
This 76-nucleotide transfer RNA is filed under the name Planctomycetaceae bacterium. RNAcentral describes it as "tRNA-Phe". It matches the Rfam family "tRNA". Rfam says of the family: Transfer RNA (tRNA) molecules are approximately 80 nucleotides in length. Their secondary structure includes four short double-helical elements and three loops (D, anti-codon, and T loops). Further hydrogen bonds mediate the characteristic L-shaped molecular structure. tRNAs have two regions of fundamental functional importance: the anti-codon, which is responsible for specific mRNA codon recognition, and the 3' end, to which the tRNAs corresponding amino acid is attached (by aminoacyl-tRNA synthetases). tRNAs cope with the degeneracy of the genetic code in two manners: having more than one tRNA (with a specific anti-codon) for a particular amino acid; and 'wobble' base-pairing, i.e. permitting non-standard base-pairing at the 3rd anti-codon position. The record is from RNAcentral. Lineage: Bacteria; Pseudomonadati; Planctomycetota; Planctomycetia; Planctomycetales; Planctomycetaceae.